UCCGCAUUCCAGUGAAAAUGCCCUAAUCACACAUGGAGCAGGUAUCAGGCACGAACCUCAGCCCAAGACACCAAGCUACGCCACACCCACACGGGCCCCAGCAGUGAUAAACAUUAAGCAAUAAGCGACACUACCACUAAAGCUUGACUUAGUUAUGAUUAAUUAGGGCCGGUUAACCUCGUGCCAGCCACCGCGGUUAUACGAGGGGCCCAAAAUAGCAGACUUCGGCGUAAAUCGUGGUUAGAAUAACGACCCCAACAUUAAGAGCUAAACUAUAGUCUAAAUGUAAAACACAGGCUAAAUGAAAACAAACACUCUUAACACAAGGUUAUUUGACCCACGAAAACUAAGAAACAAACUAGGAUUAGAUACCCUACUAUGCUUAGUCGUUAAUAUGACACCCUACAACACCUGUGUCCGCCAGAAGACUACGAGCGAAAAGCUUAAAACUCAAAGGACUUGGCGGUGCUCCACACCAACUUAGAGGAGCCUGUCCUAUAAUCGAUAAUCCACGCUAAACCUCACCAAUCUUUGCCAACACAGCCUAUAUACCGCCGUCACCAACUUACCUCAUGAGAGAAGAACAGUAAGUAUAAUAGUUCAACAACUAAAACGUCAGGUCAAGGUGUAGCUCAUAGAUUGGAAGAGAUGGGCUACAUUUUUUAAAAUAAAAAACACGGCACGACACUAUGAAACAAGUGCCCAAAGGUGGAUUUAACAGUAAAAUUAGCAAGAAAGCUAAUUUUAAGCCUG
This 753-nucleotide ribosomal RNA is filed under the name Sceloporus grandaevus. RNAcentral describes it as "partial 12S ribosomal RNA". It matches the Rfam family "Bacterial small subunit ribosomal RNA", at positions 307 to 1370 of the family's 1533-position model. The record is from RNAcentral. Lineage: Eukaryota; Metazoa; Chordata; Lepidosauria; Squamata; Phrynosomatidae.